RNAcentral lists this ribosomal RNA (1211 nucleotides) under metagenome. RNAcentral's name for it is "bacterial SSU rRNA". It matches the Rfam family "Archaeal small subunit ribosomal RNA", at positions 228 to 1445 of the family's 1478-position model. The record is from RNAcentral.
GGUUGUUGGUGAGGUAACGGCUCACCAAGCCGAUAAUCGAUAGGGGCCGUGAGAGCGGGAGCCCCGAGAUGGGUACUUAGACAGCGACCCAGGCCUUACGAGGCGCAGCAGGCGCGAGACCUCCGCAAUACACGAAAGUGUGACGGGGUUACCCAUAGUGUCCAUAUUUGGACUGUGGUAGGUGAGUAAUGUCCCCUACUAGAAAGGAGAGGGCAAGGCUGGUGCCAGCCGCCGCGGUAAAACCAGCUCUUCAAGUGGUCGGGAUAAUUAUUGGGCUUAAAGUGUCCGUAGCCGGUUUAGUUAGUUCCUGGUAAAAUCGGGUAGCUUAACUAUCUGUAUGCUAGGAAUACUGCUAUACUAGAGGGCGGGAGAGGUCUGAGGUACUACAGGGGUAGGGGUGAAAUCUUAUAAUCCUUGUAGGACCACCAGUGGCGAAGGCGUCAGACUGGAACGCGCCUGACGGUGAGGGACGAAAGCCAGGGGAGCGAACCGGAUUAGAUACCCGGGUAGUCCUGGCCGUAAACGAUGCAUACUAGGUGAUGGCACGGCUAUGAGCCGUGUCAGUGCCGUAGGGAAACCGUUAAGUGUGCCGCCUGGGAAGUACGGUCGCAAGGCUAAAACUUAAAGGAAUUGGCGGGGGAGCACCACAAGGGGUGAAGCCUGCGGUUCAAUUGGACUCAACGCCGGGAAACUUACCAGGGGAGACAGUAGAAUGCAGGUCAGGUUGACGACCUUACCUAACGAGCUGAGAGGAGGUGCAUGGCCGUCGCCAGUUCGUGCUGUGAGGUAUCCUGUUAAGUCAGGCAACGAACGAGAUCCGCGCCUUUAUUUGCCAGCAAGAAGUUACGACUUCGUUGGGAACACUAAAGGGACCGCCGUCGAUAAGACGGAGGAAGGAGCGGGCAAAGGCAGGUCAGUAUGCCCCGAAACCCCUGGGCUACACGCGGGCUGCAAUGGUAUGAACAAUGGGCUGUAACCCCGAAAGGAGAAACCAAUCCCGAAAUCAUAUCUCAGUUGGAAUUGUCGGCUGUAACCCGCUGACAUGAACGUGGAAUCCCUAGUAAUCGUGUGUCAUCAUCGCACGGUGAAUACGUCUCUGCUCCUUGCACACACCGCCCGUCGCUCCAUCCGAGUGUACUAAAAAUGAGGUUUGGUCAAUCUGGUCGUAUCGAGUUUCUAGUAUGCGAGGAGGGAGAAGUCGUAACAAGGUA